Molecule: ribosomal RNA, 406 nt
Filed under: uncultured bacterium
Lineage: Bacteria
Description: partial 16S ribosomal RNA
Rfam family: Bacterial small subunit ribosomal RNA
Source: RNAcentral
AUUGAACGCUGGCGGCAUGCCUAACACAUGCAAGUCGAACGUGUGGCGGACGGGUGUGUAAUGUCUGGGACACUGCCUGCUGGAGGGGGAUAACUUCUGGAAACGGUAGCUAAUACCGCAUACCAUCAGAUGUGCCCUGAUGGGCUUAGCUAGUUGGUGGGGUAACGGCGCACCAAGGCGACGAUCCCUAGCUGGUCUGAGAGGAUGACCGGGCACACUGGAACUGAGACACGGUGCAGAGUCCGACGGGAGGAAGCAGUGGGGAAGAUGGCACAAUGGGCGAAAGGGUGAUGCAGCCAUGCCGCGAGUAUGAAGAAGGCCUUCGGGUUGUAAAGUAGUUUCAGCGGGGAGGCGGUACCCGCAGAAGAAGCACCGGCUAACUCCGUGCCAGCAGCCGCGGUAAUAC